This 2933-nucleotide ribosomal RNA is filed under the name Candidatus Cloacimonadota bacterium. Its description in RNAcentral is "23S ribosomal RNA". It matches the Rfam family "Bacterial large subunit ribosomal RNA". The record is from RNAcentral. Lineage: Bacteria; Pseudomonadati; Candidatus Cloacimonadota.
UAAGGGCAUAAGGGCAUAUGGUGGAUGCCUUGGUACCAAAUAGCGAUGAAGGACGUGGUUAACUGCGAAAAGCUUCGGUGAGCUGUAAGCGAGCUUAGACCCGGAGAUGUCCGAAUGGGGCAACCCAUCUCUGUUGAUACGGAGAUAUUCCGAUGUAAAUUGGGAGGCAAACGCGCUGAACUGAAACAUCUAAGUAGGCGCAGGAAGAGAAAGUAAAAACGAUUUCCUCAGUAGCGGCGAGCGAACGGGAAAGAGCCUAAACCGUGCAAUUUAUUGUGCGGGGUAGUGGGAUGCAUCGACAAAGUUUUUUUACAAAUAUAGACGAACCUAUCUGGAAAGUUAGACCGUAGAGGGUGAAAGUCCUGUAGUUGAAAUAUUUGUAGUUAGAUGAGGUGCACACCCGAGUAGGUCGGGACACGAGAAAUCCUGAUUGAAUCUGCGAGGACCAUCUCGUAAGGCUAAAUAUAUUUGGUAACCGAUAGAGAAUUAGUACCGUGAGGGAAAGGUGAAAAGUACCCCGGAAGGGGAGUGAAAUAGAACCUGAAACCGUAUGCUUACAAUCAGUCGGAGUCUGCAUUAAUGUGGAUGACGGCGUGCCUUUUGCAUAAUGAGCCGGCGAGUUAAUGUUAUCAGCGAGGAUAAGUGAUACAGUCAUGUAUCCUAAGCGAAAGCGAGUGUUAAUAGCGCGUAUAGUUGAUAGUAUUAGACCCGAAGCCUAGUGAUCUACCCAUGUCCAGGUUGAAGUCACGGUAACACGUGAUGGAGGACCGCACCAGGACACGUUGAAAAGUGUUUGGAUGAGGUGUGGGUAGGGGUGAAAGGCCAAUCAAACUAGGAGAUAUCUGGUUCUCUCCGAAAACUGUUUAGGCAGUGCCUCAUGAUAGAGUUAUGGAGGUAGAGCACUGAAUGGGCUAGGGGGCAUACCAGCCUACCGAACCCAAUCAAACUCCGAAUGCCAUAACUUGAUCUGUGGGAGACAGCGUGCGGGGGAUAAGCUUCGUACGCGAGAGGGAAACAACCCAGACCGACGGUUAAGGUCCCAAAAUGUAUGCUUAGUGAGAAAGGAUGUGUUAUUGCACAGACAGCCAGGAUGUUGGCUUAGAAGCAGCCACCAUUUAAAGAGUGCGUAAUAGCUCACUGGUCAAGUGGUAGUGCACCGAAGAUGAUCGGGACUUAAGCAUACUACCGAAACCGCGGAUUUCUGUGAUUAGUCACAGGAGUGGUAGGAGAGCAUUCCAUUCAGCGUAGAAGGAGAGCUGUAAGGCGAUCUGGAGCGUAUGGAAGAGACCAUGCCGGCAUGAGUAGCGAUAAUGCGAGUGAGAAACUCGCACACCGCAAGCCUCAGGUUUCCUGAGUAAAGAUAAUCUGCUCAGGGUAAGUCUGCCCCUAAGGCGAGUCAAGCGAGCUUGAGUAGCUGAUGGGAAUCCGGUUAAUAUUCCGGAACCUGAUGUAUUUAGAGAUGGAGUGACGCGGUAGUGCGUCGGAGACGGGUGUUGGAAGUCCCGUUGAACCUUUUUAGGUUAGCUUAUAGGUAAAUCCGUAGGCUUUUAAUCCGAGGAAGGGGACGAGAGCUUUAAGUUCGAAAGUCCGAUUAUAGAUACCGCCAAGAAAUAGCUUCUAAUUGUUUGAAGAUAUAUCAGACAGUACCGCAAACCGACACAGGUAGGCGAGGAGAGUAUCCUCAGGUGUUCGAGAGAAUUCUGGUUAAGGAACUCGGCAAAAUGACCCCGUAACUUCGGGAGAAGGGGUGCCCCGUUAUUGUGAAGAUACUAGCUAUCGGAGCGAGAAGGGGUUGCAGUGAAAAGGUCCAAGCGACUGUUUAUCAAAAACACAGGUCUAUGCGAAGGUGCAAGCCAAAGUAUAUAGACUGACACCUGCCCGGUGCUGGAAGGUUAAGUGGAGGGGUUAGCUUACGCGAAGCUCUGAAAUGAAGCCCCAGUAAACGGCGGCCGUAACUAUAACGGUCCUAAGGUAGCGAAAUUCCUUGUCGGGUAAGUUCCGACCUGCACGAAUGGUGUAACGACUUGGACGCUGUCUCAACCAGGAACUCGGUGAAAUUGUAGUGGCGGUGAAGAUGCCGCCCACCCGCGAACGGAUGGAAAGACCCCGUGAACCUUUACUGCAUCUUGAUAUUGUAAUUUGGUAAGGUAUGUGUAGGAUAGGUGGGAGACUUUGAAGCUGGUACGCUAGUAUCGGUGGAGUCGACCUUGAAAUACCACCCUUAUUUUGUUGGAUUACUAACGUGUGUUAGACGCAUGCGGACAUUGUCAGGAGGGCAGUUUGACUGGGGCGGUCGCCUCCCAAAAAGUAACGGAGGCUCACAAAGGUUCCCUCAGGCUGGAUGGUAAUCAGCCGUAGAGCGUAAAGGUAUAAGGGAGCUUAACUGCGAGACUGACGGGUCGAGCAGAUACGAAAGUAGGUCUUAGUGAUCCGGCGACUCUGAAUGGAAGGGUCGUUGCUCAAAGGAUAAAAGGUACUCCGGGGAUAACAGGCUGAUACCACCCAAGAGUUCAUAUCGACGGUGGUGUUUGGCACCUCGAUGUCGGCUCAACUCAUCCUGGGGCUGAAGAAGGUCCCAAGGGUUCGGCUGUUCGCCGAUUAAAGAGUUACGCGAGCUGGGUUCAGAACGUCGUGAGACAGUUCGGUCCCUAUCCUUCGUGGGCGUAGGAAAUUUGAGGGGAGCUGCAUUUAGUACGAGAGGACCGGUGUGGACGAACCUCUGGUGUAUCGGUUGUGCCGCCAGGUGCAUUGCCGAGUAGCUAAGUUCGGAACGGAUAACCGCUGAAAGCAUCUAAGCGGGAAGCCAACCUCAAGAUAGAUUUCCCAUGAGAUAUGUUGGAGACUACAACGUUGAUAGGUCACAGGUGUACGCACAGUAAUGUGUUCAGCCGAGUGAUACUAAUAUAUCGAUUGCCUUACAUUUUAUUUUAUUU